GACAAACGCUGGCGGCAUGCCUAACACAUGCAAGUCGAACGGACAGAACAGGGAAGCUUUUCGGAGUGGAACUGGAAAGUUAGUGGCGGAUGGGUGAGUAACGCGUGGACAACCUACCUUGUAAAGGGGAAUAACCUCGAGAAAUCGAAGCUAAUACCCCAUAAUAACCUUGCUUCGCAUGAAGUAAGGAGGAAAGGCGGCCUUAGCGCUGUCGAUACAAGAUGGGUCCGCGUCUGAUUAGCUAGUUGGUGAGGUAAAGGCUCACCAAGGCGACGAUCAGUAGCCGGCCUGAGAGGGUGAACGGCCACAUUGGGACUGAGACACGGCCCAAACUCCUACGGGAGGCAGCAGUGGGGAAUCUUCCGCAAUGGGCGAAAGCCUGACGGAGCAAUGCCGCGUGAGUGAAGAGGGCCUUCGGGUUGUAAAACUCUGUCCUUAUCGAAGAGAGAGUGUUGUAGUAACUGACAAUACUAGGACGGUAGAUGAGGAGGAAGCCCCGGCUAACUAUGUG
RNAcentral lists this ribosomal RNA (511 nucleotides) under uncultured bacterium. RNAcentral describes it as "partial 16S ribosomal RNA". It matches the Rfam family "Bacterial small subunit ribosomal RNA", at positions 28 to 507 of the family's 1533-position model. The record is from RNAcentral.